GCGACAGCGUCGCUGAGCACUAACUUCUAUUCCACGGAGGCAGACAGCGAAAACCAUUUCAGAACCACGGCAAGGCAUGAGAGAAGCACAGGCAUGGUGCAGAGGGCAGAAAGAAGACAAAGAACGAAGAUAAAAGAAGCCUUUUUCCUCAAGAAGAUUGUAAUCUAGUGGUGGAGCUGGAAAAUAAAGGAAAGCAGUGGCCAUGUAUGUCAUGAGGACAUUCCAGUAACCCUAUGUGGUAAGGAACCGAGUCAGCCUGCCAACAAAAACUGCCACUGAAAAACUGAGCCCUCCUGCUGACAGCCAUGUGAGAGGAACACCUGGGAAGUGGAUCCUCCAGGCCUGGUCAUACUUCAGAUGACUGCAGCCCAAGCCAACAUCUUGCUUGAGUGGAGCCUCAUGAGUGACUCAGUCAAAACCACACAGCUGAGAUAUUUCCAACCCACAGAUACUGAGAUAAUAAAUGUUUAUUGCUACUAGGUUUCCUUCCUUCCUUCCUUCCUUCCUUUCUUUUCUCUUCUCCUUCCUUCCUUCCUUUCUUUUCUCUUCUCCUUCCUUCCUUCCUUUCUUUUCUCUUCUCCUUCCUUCCUUCCUCCCUCCCUCUCCUCCUCCUCCUUCAUCUUCUUCCUCUUCUUCCUCUUCCCCUUCCCCUUCCUCUUCCUCCUUCUUUCUUUCUUACUUUCUUUCUCUUUCUUUCUUUCUUUCUCUAUGAAAAUAUCAGGUGUACUAUAUUUUACCUGCCUUCAUGUAUACUUGAAUAAUUCCAUAAUAAAACUUUUUA
RNAcentral lists this long non-coding RNA (781 nucleotides) under Pan troglodytes (chimpanzee). RNAcentral's name for it is "long non-coding RNA NONPTRT011633". The record is from RNAcentral. Lineage: Eukaryota; Metazoa; Chordata; Mammalia; Primates; Hominidae.